Molecule: transfer RNA, 72 nt
Filed under: Camelus bactrianus (Bactrian camel)
Lineage: Eukaryota; Metazoa; Chordata; Mammalia; Artiodactyla; Camelidae
Also listed under: 3 other names
Rfam family: tRNA
About the family: Transfer RNA (tRNA) molecules are approximately 80 nucleotides in length. Their secondary structure includes four short double-helical elements and three loops (D, anti-codon, and T loops).
Source: Rfam by way of RNAcentral
GUGGGUAUAGCUCAGUGGUAGAGUGCAUGCUUAGCAUGCACAAGGUCUUGGGUUCAAUCCCCAGUACCUCCA